Molecule: ribosomal RNA, 497 nt
Filed under: uncultured bacterium
Lineage: Bacteria
Description: partial 16S ribosomal RNA
Rfam family: Bacterial small subunit ribosomal RNA
Source: RNAcentral
GAUGAACGCUGGCGGCGUGCCUAAUACAUGCGAGUCAAGCGAACGGACGAGAAGCUUGCUUCUCUGAUGUUAGCGGCGGACGGGUGAGUAACACGUGGAUAACCUACCUAUAAGACUGGGAUAACUUCGGGAAACCGGAGCUAAUACCGGAUGAUAUUUUGAACCGCAUGGUUCAAAAGUGAAAGACGGUCUUGCUGUCACUUAUAGAUGGAUCCGCGCUGCAUUAGCUAGUUGGUAAGGUAACGGCUUACCAAGGCAACGAUGCAUAGCCGACCUGAGAGGGUGAUCGGCCACACUGGAACUGAGACACGGUCCAGACUCCUACGGGAGGCAGCAGUAGGGAAUCUUCCGCAAUGGGCGAAAGCCUGACGGAGCAACGCCGCGUGAGUGAUGAAGGUCUUCGGAUCGUAAAACUCUGUUAUUAGGGAAGAACAUAUGUGUAAGUAACUGUGCACAUCUUGACGGUACCUAAUCAGAAAGCCACGGCUAACUACGUG